UAGGGAAUCUUCCGCAAUGGACGCAAGUCUGACGGAGCAACGUCGCGUGAGUGAAGAAGGAUUUCGGUUCGUAAAACUCUGUUGUUAGAGAAGAACAGCGCAUAGAGUAACUGUUAUGCGUGUGACGGUAUCUAACCAGAAAGCCACGGCUAACUACGUGCCAGCAGCCGCGGUAAUACGUAGGUGGCAAGCGUUGUCCGGAUUUAUUGGGCGUAAAGCGAGCGCAGGCGGUCAAUUAAGUCUGAUGUGAAAGCCCCCGGCUCAACCGGGGAGGGUCUUUGGAAACGGGAUGACUUGGGUGCAGAAGGGGAGAGUGGAAUUCCAUGUGUAGCGGUGAAGUGCGUAGAUAUAUGGAGGAACACCAGUGGCGAAGGCGACUCUCUGGUCUGUAACUGACGCUGCGGCUCGAAAGCGUGGGUAGCAAACAGG
This 429-nucleotide ribosomal RNA is filed under the name Bacteroidota bacterium. Its description in RNAcentral is "Bacteroidetes bacterium partial 16S ribosomal RNA". It matches the Rfam family "Bacterial small subunit ribosomal RNA", at positions 355 to 776 of the family's 1533-position model. Lineage: Bacteria; Pseudomonadati; Bacteroidota. The record is from RNAcentral.